GGAAAUGCAGAGCUACUGGCGAGGCUAAUUUUGUUGCUAACUUAAUGAAUUGUUACAUUCUUGAGGGUUCGAAUCCUUUCAUUUCCG
This 87-nucleotide transfer RNA is filed under the name Trichosporon asahii var. asahii CBS 8904. RNAcentral describes it as "tRNA-Ser". Lineage: Eukaryota; Fungi; Basidiomycota; Tremellomycetes; Trichosporonales; Trichosporonaceae. The record is from RNAcentral.